This 73-nucleotide transfer RNA is filed under the name Junco hyemalis (dark-eyed junco). It matches the Rfam family "tRNA". Rfam says of the family: Transfer RNA (tRNA) molecules are approximately 80 nucleotides in length. Their secondary structure includes four short double-helical elements and three loops (D, anti-codon, and T loops). The record is from Rfam by way of RNAcentral. Lineage: Eukaryota; Metazoa; Chordata; Aves; Passeriformes; Passerellidae.
CGGGGAAUAGCACAGUUGGUAGGGCACUUGGUUCGGGACCAAGAGGUCACGAGUUCGAAUCUCGUUUCUCCGA